GAUGAACGCUAGCUACAGGCUUAACACAUGCAAGUCGAGGGGAAACGACAUCGAAAGCUUGCUUUUGAUGGGCGUCGACCGGCGCACGGGUGAGUAACGCGUAUCCAACCUGCCCAUCACUUGGGAACAACCUUGCGAAAGUAAGACUAAUACCCAAUGACAUCCCACGAAGACAUCUGAAUGGGAUUAAAGAUUUAUCGGUGAUGGAUGGGGAUGCGUCUGAUUAGCUUGUUGGCGGGGUAACGGCCCACCAAGGCAACGAUCAGUAGGGGUUCUGAGAGGAAGGUCCCCCACAUUGGAACUGAGACACGGUCCAAACUCCUACGGGAGGCAGCAGUGAGGAAUAUUGGUCAAUGGGCGAGAGCCUGAACCAGCCAAGUAGCGUGCAGGAUGACGGCCCUAUGGGUUGUAAACUGCUUUUAUAAGGGAAUAAAGUGGGUCUCGUGAGACUUUUUGCAUGUACCUUAUGAAUAAGGACCGGCUAAUUCCGUG
RNAcentral lists this ribosomal RNA (492 nucleotides) under uncultured bacterium. Its description in RNAcentral is "partial 16S ribosomal RNA". It matches the Rfam family "Bacterial small subunit ribosomal RNA", at positions 28 to 507 of the family's 1533-position model. The record is from RNAcentral.